GAUGAACGCUAGCUACAGGCUUAACACAUGCAAGUCGAGGGGCAGCAUUUCGCUAGCAAUAGUGAAGAUGGCGACCGGCGCGACGGGUGAGCAACACGUAUCCAACCUGCCGAUAACUCGGGGAUAGCCUUUCGAAAGAAAGAUUAAUAUCCGAUGGUAUAUUAAAACCGCAUGGUUUUACUAUUAAAGAAUUUCGGUUAUCGAUGGGGAUGCGUUCCAUUAGAUAGUAGGCGGGGUAACGGCCCACCUAGUCUUCGAUGGAUAGGGGUUCUGAGAGGAAGGUCCCCCACAUUGGAACUGAGACACGGUCCAAACUCCUACGGGAGGCAGCAGUGAGGAAUAUUGGUCAAUGGGCGAGAGCCUGAACCAGCCAAGUAGCGUGAAGGAUGAAGGUCCUACGGAUUGUAAACUUCUUUUAUACGGGAAUAAAGUAUCCUACGUGUAGGAUUUUGUAUGUACCGUAUGAAUAAGCAUCGGCUAACUCCGUG
This 488-nucleotide ribosomal RNA is filed under the name uncultured bacterium. RNAcentral describes it as "bacterial SSU rRNA". It matches the Rfam family "Bacterial small subunit ribosomal RNA", at positions 28 to 507 of the family's 1533-position model. The record is from RNAcentral.